RNAcentral lists this ribosomal RNA (435 nucleotides) under Serratia sp. 621GF. RNAcentral describes it as "bacterial SSU rRNA". It matches the Rfam family "Bacterial small subunit ribosomal RNA", at positions 90 to 521 of the family's 1533-position model. The record is from RNAcentral. Lineage: Bacteria; Pseudomonadati; Pseudomonadota; Gammaproteobacteria; Enterobacterales; Yersiniaceae.
GACGAGCGGCGGACGGGUGAGUAAUGUCUGGGAAACUGCCUGAUGGAGGGGGAUAACUACUGGAAACGGUAGCUAAUACCGCAUAAUGUCUACGGACCAAAGUGGGGGACCUUCGGGCCUCACGCCAUCAGAUGUGCCCAGAUGGGAUUAGCUAGUAGGUGGGGUAAUGGCUCACCUAGGCGACGAUCCCUAGCUGGUCUGAGAGGAUGACCAGCCACACUGGAACUGAGACACGGUCCAGACUCCUACGGGAGGCAGCAGUGGGGAAUAUUGCACAAUGGGCGCAAGCCUGAUGCANCCAUGCCGCGUGUGUGAAGAAGGCCUUAGGGUUGUAAAGCACUUUCAGCGAGGAGGAAGGGUUCAGUGUUAAUAGCACUGUGCAUUGACGUUACUCGCAGAAGAAGCACCGGCUAACUCCGUGCCAGCAGCCGCGGU